Heterocephalus glaber (naked mole-rat) is the source of this 1238-nucleotide long non-coding RNA. The record is from Ensembl. Lineage: Eukaryota; Metazoa; Chordata; Mammalia; Rodentia; Bathyergidae.
AUCUGUGCCAGCAUGCCAUACAUACUGUGAAUCUAGGAAAACCACAUAUGGGCCAUUCCUCUUUCUUUUGCUGCAGUCAGAGGAAAAACUGGUGCCUGCUGUGAUGUUCCUAAAGCUGUUUCCAGCUAUCUAUAAGCUCCUUCAACUCUCACCCCUGCUUUACCUCCUGAGAGGAGUUUAUCUUGGACUUCUUACUUCCAUUUACUCUAAGCCAUAUAGACUUCAAGAGCUGUUGAGAAAAGACAUCAACAGAUGGGGGCUGUAUGGAGAGGAGCAGAGCCUUUUAAAGAAUCCACAAAAUAGCCAUAUGAGGAAGCAUGUAUUUUAAGCAUCUGACAGAUCCAGAAAGCUUGGAGCUGGCAGAUGACAGAAACAGUCAAUUGAGAACUUUCCUGGGACUCUCUGAUCCUAGGGAGAUCAGAAACCACCGUAGGCAAGAUGGAGAGAGCAGAAAUCAGUAGGACAGGCAACAAAGAAAACCAGCCCAGCCUCUUCCUCAAACUGGGGUCUCUUGAUGGCAGCUGGCCCUAGUGGGCAACAUUUCAACUUUAAAACAUAGUUGGAGUUUUGAAUUUUAUUCUGGACUAGAUAUAUUAAAAUACUAACUUUGAGUUGAAGUUUGUGACUUUAGAAGUAGAUGGAGAAGUUAUAAGGACCCAUCUGACUUUUUCUUUUUUACAAGGGGGAUUAAACUUGGGGCCUUCACACUGACCUAAAGGGAGGGGGAGAAUUAAUAGCACUAAGCAAAUUUAAAGACACAAUCAUAGGCAAAAUUGUUGCUAUAUAACAACAUUCCAGGAGCCCCCUUUUCAAUGUGCCCAAACCAUGUCUUUAUAGCUUGCUUCAUACGGUCAGUACAACCCAUAUAAGGUCAGGAGAUUCUAGGUGGCUGCCUUCCCUUUUUCCCCUUGGGAGUCCCCUCAGUUAAUGCAUGACUGAUGCUGAAUCUGCAGCUAUGUUAUCUUUACAACCCUGUAAACGGGAUACUCUGCAACUGUGUAAGUUUGCAACUAUGUUAUCUUUACUACCUUGUAAAGAGGAUGCUCCUUACCUGUGUGAUAUUUUGUUUCAAUUAAACUGUGUGAAACUUGCCCAACUCCCACUAGCUUAACAAAGUUCUGCUCCUGUGAAAUUCUGCUUGCACAACCACUCUCCCUGAGCUCUCCCCAAUUAGAAGAGUCACUUAAAAGGACCCUGCAACUGGCAUGAGCCACUCUCAAUCACUGGCUUAUGACAAU